GCUGUUAAAAAGCUCGUAGUUGGAUCAAGAGUCGGACAGUGCACGGUGGCUCCAUUAGCCAGUUUGGCUCCGGUCAUAUUGGCGGUGGCGGAUCAACCCCGUGCGCCAAACUGUCCGCUCUAACAGACCGAAACGGUUCCCUGUGAGUAGGCCCCUUCAUUGGGGUCGAAAGCGCCUACGCAUCAACCAUAUGCAUACGGGACGUCGGUCAAAGUUACUGUGAACAAACCAGCGUGUCCAAAGCAGGCUUUCGCCUGAAUGUUCGAGCAUGGAAUAACAAGGGAUCGAUUCUCUCGGUUCUUUUUGUUGGUUUUUAACCCGAGAAGGAGUAAUUCAGGCCACGGUGUCUGAGUUGGGUUUCCCGAGACUUCGGCUGAGGCCCCAAUUAGGCCGUGUCCUUACGGGAUCAAUAGGGACUGACGGGGUCGUACGUACUUCCGCGUCAGAGAGUGAAAUUCUUAGAUCGCGGGAAGACGAACUUCUGCGAAAGCAUUCGACAAGAAUGUCUUCAUUAAUCAAGAACGAGAGUGUGGGGAUCGAAGAUGAUCAGAUACCGUCGUAGUCCACUACUGUA
Molecule: ribosomal RNA, 574 nt
Filed under: uncultured marine eukaryote
Lineage: Eukaryota
Description: SSU rRNA
Rfam family: Eukaryotic small subunit ribosomal RNA
Source: RNAcentral